AUACGUAGGGUCCGAGCGUUGUCCGGAAUUACUGGGCGUAAAGAGCUCGUAGGUGGUGUGUCGCGUCGUCCGUGAAAACUCACAGCUUAACUGUGGGCGUGCGGGCGAUACGGGCAGACUUGAGUACUGCAGGGGAGACUGGAAUUCCUGGUGUAGCGGUGGAAUGCGCAGAUAUCAGGAGGAACACCGGUGGCGAAGGCGGGUCUCUGGGCAGUAACUGACGCUGAGGAGCGAAAGCGUGGGGAGC
RNAcentral lists this ribosomal RNA (247 nucleotides) under uncultured bacterium. Its description in RNAcentral is "partial 16S ribosomal RNA". It matches the Rfam family "Bacterial small subunit ribosomal RNA", at positions 523 to 769 of the family's 1533-position model. The record is from RNAcentral.